UAUUGUUUGAGGCAUCCUGCCUUCCUGAGUCCGUGCUCACCAUGCCAAGACUUAUUAAAUGGGUAUUUCUUGGAUGAUGGCUUUUCCUGGAUUGUGUGGUUGGCUGGUGCACACAGAUAAGACAAAGUAGCCAUCACGAGUGUUUUGGAGACAGAGAGCCAGGCAGCCCCUGAAGCAGGACAGCAGACCAAGGAGGGUGCAGACUGGGAGAUGUCUGUGCCCUGGGGUGCCUGGAGAGAUGCACCUAGAGGAAACUUUGCAGACCAACUGAAAAAGAGGUGACAACUAUCUACAGACUCAUUACAGAUCAAAGGCCAUAUACAAUUAAUUGCUGUUGCAGUAAUGAACUUCUACAUGGAUUUAUAAUUAAUUGCUUAAAUCUUGAUUUAACUGCUGAGUGAUAUUUAGAACUUACGAGCUACAAUUAAUUUUGGAUGUCUGUAAGACUGUAGCACACAUUUUGUUCUUUUUAUUUAUUUAUUCAUUUAUUUCUCCCUUCUGAAAUAUUAAAAAACAUUGUCAAAUUGUGAAAAAUUCCCCCCAAAAUAAAGUUGAGUGAUUGGUAGGCA
Molecule: long non-coding RNA, 569 nt
Filed under: Anas platyrhynchos platyrhynchos (common mallard)
Lineage: Eukaryota; Metazoa; Chordata; Aves; Anseriformes; Anatidae
Description: lncRNA (ENSAPLG00000024090.1)
Source: RNAcentral